RNAcentral lists this ribosomal RNA (450 nucleotides) under uncultured Glomeromycotina. RNAcentral describes it as "SSU rRNA". It matches the Rfam family "Eukaryotic small subunit ribosomal RNA", at positions 569 to 1023 of the family's 1831-position model. Lineage: Eukaryota; Fungi; Glomeromycota. The record is from RNAcentral.
AGCAGCCGCGGUAAUUCCAGCUCCAAUAGCGUAUAUUAAAGUUGUUGCAGUUAAGAAGCUCGUAGUUGAAUUUCGGGAUCAAUAUAUUGGUCGUGCCUCCGGUACGUACUGGUAUCGUUGAUUUCUACCUUCUGACGAACUAUGAUGUCAUUAAUUUGGUGUCAUGGGAAAUCAGGACUGUUACUUUGAAAAAAUUAGAGUGUUUAAAGCAGGCACACGCUUGAAUACAUUAGCAUGGAAUAAUGAAAUAGGACGUUUGACCCUAUUUUGUUGGUUUCUAGGAUCGACGUAAUGAUUAAUAGGGAUAGUUGGGGGCAUUAGUAUUCAAUUGUCAGAGGUGAAAUUCUUGGAUUUAUUGAAGACUAACUACUGCGAAAGCAUUUGCCAAGGAUGUUUUCAUUAAUCAAGAACGAAAGUUAGGGGAUCGAAGACGAUCAGAUACCGUCGUAG